This 1331-nucleotide ribosomal RNA is filed under the name Maribacter spongiicola. Its description in RNAcentral is "16S ribosomal RNA". It matches the Rfam family "Bacterial small subunit ribosomal RNA", at positions 94 to 1425 of the family's 1533-position model. The record is from RNAcentral. Lineage: Bacteria; Pseudomonadati; Bacteroidota; Flavobacteriia; Flavobacteriales; Flavobacteriaceae.
ACCGGCGCACGGGUGCGCACCGCGUAUGGAACCUACCUUGUACAGGGGAAUAGCCUUUGGAAACGAAGAUUAAUGCCCCGUGGUACCAUGGCCCGGCAUCGGGAUAUGGUUAAAGCCUUCGGGCGGUACAAGAUGGCCAUGCGUCCCAUUAGCUUGUUGGUAAGGUAACGGCUUACCAAGGCUACGAUGGGUAGGGGCCCUGAGAGGGGGAUCCCCCACACUGGUACUGAGACACGGACCAGACUCCUACGGGAGGCAGCAGUGAGGAAUAUUGGACAAUGGAGGAGACUCUGAUCCAGCCAUGCCGCGUGCAGGAAGAAUGCCCUAUGGGUAGUAAACUGCUUUUAUACGGGAAGAAAAAGAGCUACGUGUAGCUUACUGACGGUACCGUAAGAAUAAGGACCGGCUAACUCCGUGCCAGCAGCCGCGGUAAUACGGAGGGUCCGAGCGUUAUCCGGAAUUAUUGGGUUUAAAGGGUCCGUAGGCGGGCCGAUAAGUCAGGGGUGAAAGUUUGCAGCUCAACUGUAAAAUUGCCUUUGAUACUGUUGGUCUUGAGUUAUAGUGAAGUUGCCGGAAUAUGUAGUGUAGCGGUGAAAUGCAUAGAUAUUACAUAGAACACCGAUUGCGAAGGCAGGUGACUAACUAUAUACUGACGCUGAUGGACGAAAGCGUGGGGAGCGAACAGGAUUAGAUACCCUGGUAGUCCACGCCGUAAACGAUGGAUACUAGCUGUCCGGGACCUUGAGUUCUGGGCGGCCAAGCGAAAGUGAUAAGUAUCCCACCUGGGGAGUACGUUCGCAAGAAUGAAACUCAAAGGAAUUGACGGGGGCCCGCACAAGCGGUGGAGCAUGUGGUUUAAUUCGAUGAUACGCGAGGAACCUUACCAGGGCUUAAAUGCAUAUUGACAGGUCUAGAGAUAGAUUUUCCUUCGGGCAAUUUGCAAGGUGCUGCAUGGUUGUCGUCAGCUCGUGCCGUGAGGUGUCAGGUUAAGUCCUAUAACGAGCGCAACCCCUACCGUUAGUUGCCAGCAUGUCAUGAUGGGGACUCUAACGGGACUGCCGGUGCAAACCGUGAGGAAGGUGGGGAUGACGUCAAAUCAUCACGGCCCUUACGUCCUGGGCCACACACGUGCUACAAUGGCAGGUACAGAGAGCAGCCACGUCGCAAGGCGGAGCGAAUCUAUAAAACCUGUCACAGUUCGGAUCGGGGUCUGCAACUCGACCCCGUGAAGCUGGAAUCGCUAGUAAUCGGAUAUCAGCCAUGAUCCGGUGAAUACGUUCCCGGGCCUUGUACACACCGCCCGUCAAGCCAUGAAGCCGGGAGUGCCUGAA